Sitophilus oryzae (rice weevil) is the source of this 554-nucleotide long non-coding RNA. RefSeq lists it as uncharacterized. NCBI's taxonomy places the organism in Eukaryota, Metazoa, Arthropoda, Insecta, Coleoptera, Curculionidae. The transcript is spliced from 2 exons. The record is from RefSeq and is a predicted model, not a curated record.
GACUAAAAUAAAAACGAUAAAGAGAAUAUAUGUUUCUUUUAUCGAGAUCUACCACCCCUUAAAAUAUUUGCACUUAUUUUUGGGACACCCUGUAUAAAUUAGUAAAUUUUAGUGUACAGUUUCAUAGAUGCUUUGGAAUUUCUCGGAAUUUAACAACAGAAAGCCAUAAUAUAAUCAGAAACGUAUGUUAUUGCUCGAAUAACGAGAUAAUACUUUGUUUGCAAUGCACCACAGUAAUAGGACUUUAUAUUUCACCCGGGAAGAAUUGUGCACGAUUUUCCAACAAAUUUCAAGCAAUAGAUAUGCAAGAUUUCAUAAUUUCAAGCAAAAUUUGAAUAAUUAGGGCUAUUUAUUGUUAUAAUUUUACUAUAGUUUGCAAUAGAUUAUCUCAGGAAAUGUAUAUUAUAAAAUAUUUAGUUAUAUACCCAGUAAUUUAAACGGUGUUGUGAGUGUGAGUAGAUAAAAUAUAAAAAUAUAACUGUGUGUGUGUGUGUAUAUUUUAUAUGAAUGAAAAAAUUGUUAGAUAUGCGCAAUGUGACAAUAAUCAUUAUAUA